GAUAGAACAGACUAACCUGUAGGCAAAAAGCAAAGAUUGUACUUUCUACCUUUUGCAUAAUGAUUUAGCUAGUCAAACCGGACAAAAAGAAUGAAAGCCGGCCUUUCCGAAAUUAAGUUGUCAGAACGAACUCGUCUAUGUAACAAAAUAGUGAGAUGAUUUUACAAUAGAGGUGAAAAGCCUAUCGAACUUAAUGAUAGCUGGUUAUCAAAAAAACAAAUAUAAGUUCAACUUUAAAUUUAAUUCAAGUACUAACAACACUAUUUAAAUUUAAAUGUUACUCAAAAGAGGGACAACUCUUUUGACAUGUAGACAAACUUACCUAGAGGAUAAUGAAACACACACAAAAUAUUGUAGGCCUAAGAGCAGCCAUCAAUUAAGAAAGCAUUAAAGCUCAAACUUACCUAACAUUUAAUACCUAAUAUUUAAUCAAUCAAAAUCCCUAAGCUCUAUAUUGGACAAUUCUAUAACCAUUUAGAAGAUAUAAUGCUAAUAUGAGUAACCUGAACAUAUUCUCCUUGCACAAGCAUAAAUAUAGAUCGGAACAACCACUUACACUUAACCAAACAAAUAAUUAUAACCACAUACUAGCACCCUAUUACACAUACUGUUAAUUCAGCCCAGGAAUGCAUAUAAAGGAAAGAUUAAAAGGAAUAAAAGGAACUCGGCAAACAUGAACCCUGCCUGUUUACCAAAAACAUCACCUCUAGCAUUUACCAGUAUUAGAGGCACUGCCUGUCUGGUGAGUUGUGACUUUAACGGCUGCAGUAUCCUGACCGUGCAAAGGUAGCAUAAUCAUUCGUCUCUUAAUUGGGGACUAGUAUGAAUGGCACAACAAGGGUUCAACUGUCUCUUAUUCCCAAUUAGUGAAAUUGACCUUUCCGUGCAGAGGCAGGAAUGCUUAUACAAGACAAGAAGACCCUGUGGAACUUAAGUCGUAUAAUUCAACACAUACUAACAUCCAACCUAUCGGAACAAACUGUAUAAGCCACUGAGUUCAAAGACUAUAGUCUUUGGUUGGGGUGACCUCGGAACAUAAAACAACCUCCGAAUGAAUAUAACCUAGAUUAACCAAUCUAAAUGUAACAAUAACAGUAAUUAACCCAUCUCUUGAUUGACAGAACAAGUUACCCCAGGGAUAACAGCGCAAUCCUAUUUGAGAGCCCAUAUCGAAAAUUAGGGUUUACGACCCGAUGUUGGAUCAGGACACCCAAAUGGUGCAACCGCUAUUAAAGGUUCGUUUGUUCAACGAUUAAAGUCCCACGUGAUCUGAGUUCAGACAGGAGAAAUCCAGGUCGGUUUCUAUCUGUAAAUUCAUUUCUCCCAGUACGAAAGGACAAGAGAAAUAGGGCCAACGUCCCCAAUAAGCCCUAGAACUAACAUAUGAAUCAAUCUAAAUAUACUAACUCAAUUUAUACUUCUCCCCAAGAACAGGGCUAUUAAGAUGGCAGAGUUGAUAAUCGCAUAAAGUUUAAGCCUUUACUCCCAGAGGUUCAAACCC
This 1501-nucleotide ribosomal RNA is filed under the name Sarcophilus harrisii (Tasmanian devil). RNAcentral's name for it is "Bacterial large subunit ribosomal RNA". It matches the Rfam family "Bacterial large subunit ribosomal RNA", at positions 542 to 2925 of the family's 2925-position model. The record is from Rfam by way of RNAcentral. Lineage: Eukaryota; Metazoa; Chordata; Mammalia; Dasyuromorphia; Dasyuridae.